Molecule: ribosomal RNA, 253 nt
Filed under: uncultured bacterium
Lineage: Bacteria
Description: partial 16S ribosomal RNA
Rfam family: Bacterial small subunit ribosomal RNA
Source: RNAcentral
UACGUAGGGUGCGAGCGUUGUCCGGAAUUAUUGGGCGUAAAGAGCUUGUAGGCGGUUUGUCGCGUCUGCUGUGAAAAUCCGGGGCUCAACCCCGGACUUGCAGUGGGUACGGGCAGACUAGAGUGUGGUAGGGGAGACUGGAAUUCCUGGUGUAGCGGUGAAAUGCGCAGAUAUCAGGAGGAACACCGAUGGCGAAGGCAGGUCUCUGGGCCACUACUGACGCUGAGAAGCGAAAGCUAGGGGAGCAAACAGG